UACGUAGGGUGCGAGCGUUAAUCGGAAUUACUGGGCGUAAAGCGUGCGCAGGCGGUUCGUUGUGUCUGAUGUGAAAGCCCCGGGCUCAACCUGGGAACGGCAUUGGAAACUGGCGAGCUAGAGUGUGGCAGAGGGGGUGGAAUUCCGCGGUGUAGCAGUGAAAUGCGUAGAGAUGCGGAGGAACACCGAUGGCGAAGGCAGCCCCCCUGGGCUGACACUGACGCUCAGGCACGAAAGCGUGGGGAGCAAACAGG
RNAcentral lists this ribosomal RNA (254 nucleotides) under uncultured bacterium. RNAcentral describes it as "partial 16S ribosomal RNA". It matches the Rfam family "Bacterial small subunit ribosomal RNA", at positions 524 to 776 of the family's 1533-position model. The record is from RNAcentral.